ACAGGUACGUGGGCGGGCGGAUCGUGGUGGCUGCGCUUGCGAGGACCCUGAGGUAGAUUGGGUGGUUUCAACAGGAACGCAUCCACUGUCUGAGAGUUUAAACUUGAUUUUGUGAGGGGACGAACAGCGUGACAAUUAAAAGAAGAUCUGGGAAUCAAAAGCUUCCUGAGGCCUUCACCAGAAGCAGAUGCUGGUGCCGUGCUUCUACAGCCUGCAGAACUGAAGGACUUUACAGCUUCUCUUUCGCAUAUCCAAAUUGCCAGCAUCACCGCUCUUGCACUCCAAGCCAUUAUUAAGUAAAGUAAAGAACACAAACACUGUGAUACUGCUACACUUGAUCUGAUAACCAAGAAGUCUACUAAGUGACUAACAGAUUUAUAUAUCAGCUUUUUAUCAGUUGAAAUAAACCACCCUGGGCCGGGUGCAGUGGCUCACACCUGUAAUCCCAGCACUUUGGGAGGCCGAGGCAGGUAGAUCAUUUGAGGUCAGGAGUUCAAGGCCAGCCUGACCAACAUGGUGAAACCGCAUCUCUACUAAAAAAUACAAAAAUUAGCCCGGUGUUGUGGCAGGCGCUUGCAAUCCCAGCUACUCAGGAGGCUGAGGCACAAGAAUUCCUUGAACCUGGGAGGUGGAGGUUGCAGUGAGUCGAAACCAAGCCACUGCCCUCCAGUCUGGGCAACAGAUUGAGAGUCUGUCUCGAAAAAAAUAAAUACAUAAAAUAAAUAAGCCACACUGUACUUGUGAAGAUUAACUGAGAUGUUUAAAACAUUAUUUGCAAAAAUGCAAGACAUGAUGUAAGUGUAAAGCAUUAUUAUAUAUCAACAUAAUUGACCAUUAGAAAAAUGCAAAUUAACACCUCAAUGAGAUAUAUCACCAGACACCUGUUAGAAUGGUUAAAAUAAAAAGUACUGAUGAUAUUAAGUGCUGAUAAAAUGCAGAGUAACUCGAUCUCUCAUACAUUGCUGAUGCUAAUGUAAAAUGAUAUCACCACUCUAGAAAACAGUUUGGCAGUUUCUUAUAAAGUUAAACAUGCACUUACUAUACAACCCAGUAAUACACCUACUGGAUAUUCAUUCUAGGGAGAUCAAAAUUUACACCCAAAAACAUGUACAUAAAUGUUCAUAUCAGCUUUAUUUACAAUAGCCCAAAAGGAAACAAUCAGAUGUCCUCCAAUUGAUAACUGGUAUAACCCUAUCACAGAAUCCUACUGAGCAAUAAAAAGGAAAGCACUGUUGAUACAUACAACAACUUGAGUGCAUUUCAAGGCUGUUAUGCUGACUGAAAUAAAAGCUAAUCUCAAAAGGUUAUGUAUUAUGUGAUUCUGUUUAUAUAACAUUCUCAAAUUGCAAAAUCACAGCAAUGAAGAACUGAUCAGUAGUGCCAGGGGUUAGGGUUGUGGGGAGGGUGUGAUGAUGAAUGGGCAGCGUAAGAGAAUUUCUUUGGAGUGAUGGAAUAGUUUUAUAUCUUGAUUAUAGUGAUCAUUAUAUUAAACAAUUGCAUGUGAUAAAAUUCUAUAGGACUGUAUGCCAAAAAUAACUUAAUAUGUUUAUUUUUAAGGUCUGGAAAGCAUGGAAAUUUGUAUCUUCAUUCACUUUUGUUUUCAUGGACUCUUUUCAUGUUUGAACUUUUCAUGGUAUGAGCUGUUUUAUAAUCUAUAAUAUGGAAUGUUUCUCAUACGAAUGUUUUUCUUAUUGAAGAAUGCCAUAGAAAUAAGGGUGUGAGGUAUACUUACUUGACAGGAGAAUUUUACUCCUUUUAUUUUAUUUACUUAUUUAUUUUUAAGACGGAGUCCUGCUGUGUUGUCCAGGCUGGUCUUGAACCCCUGGACUCAAACGAUCUUUCUCCUUGGCCUCCCAAAGUUCUGGGAUUACAGGUAUGAGCUACAGUGCCCUGAGAGUCCUUUUUAAAGUAGUGAAUGCUCAAACAUGGAAUUAAAUUUAGGCAAAGCUCACUUUUAUUUAUACAUAAAACAACUUCAGCCAUGUACCUCAUAACGAUAUUUUGGCCAAUGUCUGACCUUAUAUACAAUGGUUGUCCUGUACGAUUAUAAUGAAGCUGAAAAUUUUCUAUUGCCUAGUAACAUUGUAGUAAUUGUAAUGUAGCACAACCUAUCACACGUGUUUGUAGUGAUGCUGGUGUAAACAAACCGACUGCAUUGCCAGUCUAGUAUAAAAGUCUAGCACACACAAUUAUCCACAGUAUAUAAUAGUUGAUAAUGAUAAUAAACA
Homo sapiens (human) is the source of this 2228-nucleotide long non-coding RNA. Ensembl annotates it as TMEM161B divergent transcript. Its record names the gene TMEM161B-DT. The record is from Ensembl. Lineage: Eukaryota; Metazoa; Chordata; Mammalia; Primates; Hominidae.